RNAcentral lists this ribosomal RNA (527 nucleotides) under Brettanomyces bruxellensis. RNAcentral's name for it is "eukaryotic LSU rRNA". It matches the Rfam family "Eukaryotic large subunit ribosomal RNA", at positions 66 to 610 of the family's 3401-position model. Lineage: Eukaryota; Fungi; Ascomycota; Pichiomycetes; Pichiales; Pichiaceae. The record is from RNAcentral.
CAACAGGGAUUGCCCCAGUAAUGGCGAAUGAAGCGGCAAGAGCCCAAAUUUGAAAUCGGGCAACCGAGUUGUAAUUUGGAGACGGGACACUAGAGAGGAGGAAGGCGAUUAAGUGCCUUGGAACAGGCUGCCGUAGAGGGUGAGAGCCCCGUGAAUCGCUGGAGACCGAUCGAUUAGUGCCCGCCGAAGAGUCGAGUUGUUUGGGAAUGCAGCUCUAAGCGGGUGGUAUAUUCCAUCUAAGGCUAAAUAUUAGCGAGAGACCGAUAGCAAACAAGUACAGUGAUGGAAAGAUGAAAAGAACUUUGGAAAGAGAGUGAAAUAGUACGUGAAAUUGUUGAAAGGGAAGGGUAUUUGAUCCGACAUGGUGUUUAGCAGCGGCCCGUUCCUCGUGGAUGGGUGCACCUGGUUUACACUGGGCCAGCAUCGGUUCUGGGAGCCAUAUACGGGGUUCGUGAAUGUGGCCCUUCGAUUCUGUCGGAGGGUGUUAUAGCGCGGGCAUCUUGUGGCUAGCCGGGACCGGGGACUGC